RNAcentral lists this ribosomal RNA (465 nucleotides) under uncultured bacterium. RNAcentral's name for it is "partial 16S ribosomal RNA". It matches the Rfam family "Bacterial small subunit ribosomal RNA", at positions 28 to 507 of the family's 1533-position model. The record is from RNAcentral.
GACGAACGCUCGCGGCGUGCUUAACACAUGCAAGUCGGACGGUAAGGCCCUCUCCGGUGUACACGUGUUGCGAACGCGGGAGUAACACGUGAGUAACCUGCCCACAACUUUGGGAUAACGCUAGUAAACUGGUGCUAAUACUGGCUAUGUGCUCCUGCUGCAUGGUGGGGGUUGUAAAGCUCCGGCGGUUGUGGAUGGACUCGCGGCCUAUCAGCUUGUUGGUGGGGUAGUGGCCUACCAAGGCGGCGACGGGUAGCCGGCCUGGGAGGGUGACCGGCCACCUCGGGACUGAGGUACGGCCCAGACUCCUGCGGGGGGCAGCAGUGGGGCCUAUCGCACUAUGGGCGCAAGCCUGAUGCAGCAACGCCGGGUGCGGGAUGACGGCCUUCGGGUUGUAAGCCGGGUUAAGCAGGGACGAAGCUUUUUGUGACGGUACAUGCAGAAGAAGGACCGGCUAACUACGUG